UACGGAGGGUGCAAGCGUUGUCCGGAAUUACUGGGCGUAAAGGGCGCGUAGGCGGCCCGCUAAGUCGAACGUGAAAUCCCCGAGCUCAACUCGGGAACUGCGUCCGAUACUGGCGGGCUUGAAUCCGGGAGAGGGAUGCGGAAUUCCAGGUGUAGCGGUGAAAUGCGUAGAUAUCUGGAGGAACACCGGUGGCGAAGGCGGCAUCCUGGACCGGCAUUGACGCUGAGGCGCGAAAGCUAGGGGAGCAAACGGG
This 253-nucleotide ribosomal RNA is filed under the name uncultured bacterium. Its description in RNAcentral is "partial 16S ribosomal RNA". It matches the Rfam family "Bacterial small subunit ribosomal RNA", at positions 524 to 776 of the family's 1533-position model. The record is from RNAcentral.